RNAcentral lists this unclassified non-coding RNA (1442 nucleotides) under Hevea brasiliensis (rubber tree). The record is from RNAcentral. Lineage: Eukaryota; Viridiplantae; Streptophyta; Magnoliopsida; Malpighiales; Euphorbiaceae.
GAGAGAGAGAGAGAGAGAAAGGAAGAAAUACUUGGUUUCUUUGUAAUAUGUUGUCUGUGGCAUUAAAGUGAGACAGUUUAGGGCUUCUUUUUAUUUUAUGCUUUUAAGAAAAAAUUUUAAAAAAAUUCCUGUUAGUUUGAAGUGGUGGCUGCCGACUCAUCUUAGAUGCCUCGCCUCAGCCGGGUGAAUCGCUAAGGGCUCGCCUCGCCUCUCUUCGCACGGCGCCUUUCUUCUACUUUAACAACAUUGACAUAAUCUGAUGAUAAAGAUGUGUAGUCGUCUUCAUGAGUUUGUGAACUUGCUUCUAUAUUGUGAGUGUGAGAUUUGGCUUAUUGAUUUAACCCUUAGGUUCUUGCAUUCAAAGUAGUUCAAUUUAACCCUAAAACUAGAUAUGCCCAUGAAGGUUACAAUCUAUAUAGAGAAGUAAAAUAGAAAAUUGUUAAGGUUAUGUUUAGUUUAGGGUAAAUUAUUUUUUGCUCCUUGUGUUAUGUCAAAAUUAAUACGAAUGUCCCUUGGUUUUUAAAAGUCAAUGGUUUCAUCCCUUGGGAUAAAUUUGCAUCUAUAUAUUUCGGGUGUGCAUUGGUUGCACCCAUUAAGCGUCGUCGUUAGUUAACAAUGUCCAUUAAACAUUCUGUAGAAUUCUGGUUAAUGUUGAAGGUAAUUUCUCUUAGUAGUGAAAACAUGUGUAAAGAUUUCAGAUGUUGAACAGCCAUUGUGUCUGUUCUUGUCUUUACUUAGUGUAAUCACUUCAUUUAAGAAUCUUUAUAUGCAGCCUUUGACACUUUUGCACUAACUGCAGUCUCUGAUAAUUAUUGCUUGUUCAAUUAUUUGACUUAUCAAUUGCUUGUUCAGGUAUGUUUGAGUUGUUUGAACCCUAAAUUUGAAGUUUCUAAUCAUUUACCAUAUGUGGCUCUUUUAUUUUAGUUUUCCAAUUUAACACUUUUGAAAAUCCGUGGUUUACAAUAAAACCUUUGUUGAAUAUUAUGGCUCAUAAUUCAAUUUAAAUGUUACAUUCAGGAAAAGGAAGUGAACUUCCUAAUUAAUAAUUUGAAUAUCAAUUUGACAAUCAUGAUUUUAGUCUACAUAAUAACAAAAAGGAAAAAAAAAAUGGUGGAUAAACAUAGAGCAAUUUGGAGUCAUAAGUGCCUAAUUGUUCUAUCUCUGUUUGCUUCCUUUUUCUGUAAAAUAAAGGUUGGUAGAAUUUUGGUUUUCUGCUAGACAUUAGGUUUUAAGAAAGUGAUAUGCAGUAGUCUACUAGCUGGUCUGAAAUACCUUGGUUAUUGUUUCAAGUAGUUUCAAGGAAAAAUGACUAUAGUAAGCUCAUAAUUUUGGUUCUUCUAUUCUGUGUUUGCUGAUAAGUGAAGUAGAGAGAAGGAAAACAGUCACUUGCAUGUGAUGAGCUUCAAGCAGGAUUUAUUUAUUUAUUUAUUUUUUUUUUUUAU